This 613-nucleotide long non-coding RNA is filed under the name Eptatretus burgeri (inshore hagfish). RNAcentral's name for it is "lncRNA (ENSEBUG00000017188.1)". The record is from RNAcentral. Lineage: Eukaryota; Metazoa; Chordata; Myxini; Myxiniformes; Myxinidae.
CCAUAAGCACGUGCACACCUGUGAAAAGACACUCUUGCAAGCAAGUUUGCGUGAACUACAACCACUUUCGAGUCAAGGGGGUCUUCAAGCAUCUGGACGAGUGCGCGUUGGUUGCCUCAAGCCUCGAUUUCAAUGGCGAGCUGGAGUCUCUAAGCUCCCCUGAAGAAACCACCCUGCACACUUUGCUGAAACACGUACUCGUGAUGAAAACUCACCUGUCUUGCCAUUCGAGCAGCGGAGACAACAUGCGUUGUCACACGUCCAUCUGUGGCUACCUGGCUGACAUGAGAGAAAAUAUGUGUGCACACCUGGUGUGCCGUGGCGAACAGGCCGAUGCGUGUUUGGCGAAGGCAGAGCCUGCCGCGCUGGAUAUUGACAGUCAGAGCUACAGCCAAUUGGGCAAGGGAACCAUGCACCGUGAAGUGCUGGAGAAGAUGCGGGUUUUGGCCAAGCAUUACGACCAGCUUAAGAAUGCAUGUCCUCUUUGAACAAUUGUGCUUCCAUUCCAUUCUUAAUGGAGAAACAUUUUAACAAAUAUUAUGUUGUAAAUGAAGACUAUUUAAUAUUUAUUCUCUUAAUAUAAACUAAUAAUUUAUGCUGCAUUUUCACAUGC